Molecule: long non-coding RNA, 20535 nt
Filed under: Marmota monax (woodchuck)
Lineage: Eukaryota; Metazoa; Chordata; Mammalia; Rodentia; Sciuridae
Source: RNAcentral
AUUAAAAUAAUUUUUGUUCAUUAAUUUGCUGUAUUUUGUAGGAUGAGAAGAAGAAACCGAAAAACCAGGAGAUACGGAGUUUUGGACACUAACAUAGAAAACAUGGAAUUAACACCUCUAGAACAAGAUGAUGAGGAUGAUGAUAACACAUUGUUUGAUGCCAAUCAUCCUAGAAGGUAAGUAUUCAGUAGUUUAAUUCCAUAUAUCAGGAAGCAAGUCCUUGCCAAGAAAAUUUAAGAUGUAGAUGUUCACUUAACAGUUUUUAUUCUAAUUGAUAUUAUUGAGUUCUCUUUAAUGAAGUUCUGUGUACUACCCAGCCAAUAGCUCACAUUCACAUUGCUAUUCUGAAAUAGCCAUAAAGAGUACAAUACAUCUGCCUCCAGUAUCUUUAUUGUAGGUUUCCUUGCAAUGCUUUAGUUUUAACUUCUUUAUUCUUACAAUAUGUAUUGUGUGUGUUUGUGUAAGGGGGAAUUUAGUAAUCUUUUUCUUUUUAUAUUCUGAAGGCAUUUUGUUUUCCAUUUGAAUUAUUUUAUUUACAAAUAGUACUUCAAAACAGAAUUGUAGAGUUAAUGGUGUUCUGAUAGUUUAACUGUGUAAAUAAAAUAUAUGUAUUUAGAUUUAUUCUCACUCCAUUUUAAGACGUUUCCUAAGAUAUUUGGAUAAAUGAAAUUACAAGGGUAUUGAAUUAGUGCAGAUAGAAUGAGAAAAAGAUGCAGUGAAGAUCCUACACAUUAAAUGAAGAUAUGUUAGGAUAAAAAGGGAUUUCUUAGGUCAAGGAAAAUUAUUAUCAAGAAUCAGGUACAAAUUUAAAGAGUACAGAAAUCUUGGAAUUAAAAAGAAAAGAAUGAACAAAACUCAGGCUAUUAAAUUUCAUGUAUUUACUAUAUAUAAUGUAUAGAAUCUAAAUUUUAUAUUUUUGUAUUUUAAUCAAUAAAGGGUAUAUGUGUAUUAAAUCCCAUAUUUUAGUGUAUUGUGUAUAUAUGUAUUGAGUCAUAUAUACAAAUGAAAUUUUAUGUAUAUAUUAUUAUAAAUUAAUAUAUAAAAGAAGGAAUUACCAAUACUACUAAAAAUUCCCAUGUAUUUUUAGAAUUUUAUUUUUAUAUAUUUAUUGUGUAUAUGUGUAUGUUUAUAUACAUACACAUAUAAGUAUAUAAAAGGAUCUGGGGAUGUAGCUCAGUUGAUAGAGUGCUUGCCAACCCACGCACAAGGCCCUAGGUUAAAUCCCCAGCACCACCACAAAAAAAAAAAAAAAUAACAACCAAAAGACUCAUAAGUACAUAAAAGAACUUCAAGUAAUGACAAAAAUUUAUACAUUUUAUAAAAAUAUAUUUAUAUAAUUUUAAUUAUACAAUUAUAUUAAUAUUAGAACUUAGAUAGACAGAUGUGAACAAAAGUCUUAACCUCUCAUUAAGAUCUUAGCCUCUUAAAAAACAAACAUGACUAAAAUAUAUACACGUUUAUAACAUUUGGUUUGGCUCACUAAAAACCCAUUAAAUUGCCUAUAAAUGUUGUAGAGUUUUCAACAAGGUUAAUAUUGUUGAUUGUUAACUUUUUUUUUACGUUGUGUAUCAGAUAAAUUUGUGGAUUUUCAUUUAAGAGUCACUAAAUAUAUUAGGUACUUUAUGCAUUAGAAUUAAAAACUGAAUAAUAUGAAAUACAGUCGGGAACAAAGACUUAUUAAAGGAAUAACUAAUCAUAUCUCUCAUCUUGGGCUCACUCUAAGAAAGUGUUUUAAUAAUUAAGAUGGCAGUGGAAUCUCACUCUUUUUAAUAUUAUUAUUAUUAAAAUUAAAAGUUUUCACAGCUAUUAUAUUGAAAUAAUUUAGAUACAUAUGAGGCAUCUGCUCUACACAUAGAAAUGGAAGGUAGGAAACAAAAUUGUUAACAACUUAAGAUUGUCUCCAAGCCAGGCAUGGUGGUGCAUGCCUAUAAUACCAGCAGCUCAGGAGUCAGGAGGGUUGCGAGUUCGAAGCCAUCCUCAGGAAUGGUGAGGCACCAAGCAAUUCAGUGAGAUCCUGUCUCCCAGUAAAAUACAAAAUUGGGCUGAAGAUGUAGCACAGUGGUUGAGUGCCACUGAGUUCAAUCCCCAGGACCAAAAAAGAAAAAAGAAAAAAAGAUUGUCUCCAAAGAUGGACUUAAUUUGAACUCUAGUUCAUUUAUUUCAGCAUGCUAGUUAAAGACAAAGCUUGCAAAGUUCAAUAGUUGUGAAAGGUAAUGCCUCACAAAUAAAAAAGAUCAUGUAUAAUUAUAUGCCAACAGAUUUGAUAACCUAGAAGAAAAGUAAAUGCCUAGGAUUGUACAACCAAAAUCUAAUCAAGGAUAAAUUGAAACCCCAACAGGCCAAUAACGAAAGGAGAUGAAAUCAGUAAUCAAAAAUUCCCCAAGAAAUGUGCAUGGUAGUACAUAUGCCUAUAACCUCAGCUGUUCAGGAGUGUGAGGCAGGAUAAUUAUGUGUUUGAGGCUAGCUUAGGUAACAUAACAAGGUCCUGUCUAAAGCAGAGAAACAAAAAAAAUCCCAAGACAAAUUACUUCACAAAGUUAAUCAUAACAAAUUUUCAAAAAAAAUCAAUGCCAGUCUUUCUCAGAAGAAUUUUUCUUUACUAAGGGAACAUACCAAAGAUAGGACAAAUCAAGGGUAUAUUAACCCUUGAUGAACAAAGUUGCCAAAAUUCUCAAUGAAAUUCUACCGAACUGAAUUCAAUAGAAUAUUUAAGUGAGACCAAAUGGGAUUUGCCCCUGGAAUGCAAGGAUAUUUCAAGAUAUGUAAGUCAAUCUUUUCCAUAAAUUUUAGUGAGAAAACUGUCAUCUUCAUCCAGAAGAAUGAAAUGAAACCAUUCUUUUUUGCCAUAUACAAAAAUCAAUCAAAAUGGAUUAAAGACUUACAUAUAUGGCUUCCAAAAAAGAUUUCCAAAAAGACAUGAGGAAAACAUUUUUGACAUUGGUCUGGGUAAUGAUGUUUUGAACAUGAUCCCAGAAAUCACAGGCAACAAAAUAAUUAGGGCUGCAUCUAACUAAAAAGGUUCCACACAAUCAACAAAGUAAAAAGGCAACCUAUGUAAUAGCAGGAAACAUAGUUUGUUUUUUUUUAAUUUUUGUUGAGAGCCACAGCUGAAGGGGCCCCAGCAAACUUCCAGCUGCCAGCAAACUUCCAGCUGCCAGCUGAUGAUUGACUCACAGUGGCCCCAGCAAACUUCUAGCUGCCAACUGAUUGGCUCCUCUGCGAUGAUGCUCAUUGGGCUGUUUCCCCACCCUUUCAGACCAGGGAGCUGCUCAUUGGGGGACUUUUUUUGGCUCUGCCCAAGCAACCCAGCCAAUCAGCCUCAAGAGCAGGAGGAGUGGGGGAGGUUGAGAGGCUUGUGGGAAGCCGGUGGUGGCAGUUGGGCUCUGAAAGGUUUUCCUGAGGAGCUGUGUGGUUUGGUGUGUGUGUUCUAAAAAUAAAGUUCGUUUCUUUUGACAAGUGGCUCCUGAAUUGUGCCCAGCCAGACUGCAGCAAAUUUUUAAUUAUUUUAUUUGUUCUUUUUUAUAUAUACAUACAGUAGGUUAUAUUUUGACAUAUAUACAUGGAGUAUAAGUUCUAAUUAGGAUCCCAUUCUUGUGGUCAUAUGAUGUGGAGUUUUCACUGGUCAUGUAUUCAUAUGUGAAUAUAGGAAAAAUUAUGUCUGAUUCAUUCUAGUAUCUUUCUUAUGCCCAUUCCCCCUCCAUUUCCUUCAUUCCCCUUUGUCUAAUCCAAUGAACUUCUGUUUUUAAUAUCCCUUUUAAUAUCCCUUAUAUAAGAUGUUUGUUUCAGAUCUCAGAGAUUUUUGGACUUUGGAAUUUUUGCCUGAAGAUUUGGAUUUUAGAUAUUUGGAUGUAUACAAACUAUGUAUACUUCUUACAUACUACAUAUUGUAUCUCUCUGUAUAUACAGAUAGAUCAUGUAGUAUUUGUAUUUUUGUGUCAGGAUCUCUCUUUCUCUCUCUCUCUCUCUCUCUCUCUCUCUCUCUCUCUCUCUCUCUCUUUCUCUCUCUGUAUCUCUCUCCAUAAACACACACACACAUACACACGGAGAGAGGCUUUAAUAUCUAAUAUUUAUAUAGAAGCUAUGUAACUCAAUAGCAAAAUAAAACAGAACAAAUAACCUGAUUCAAAAGUGGGUAAAAGACAGUAGAGUAUUAUAUAUUAUUAUUAAUUAUUAUUAUUAUAUAUUAUUAAUACAGUUAAUGAGAGUACAUUGUAUACUUGACAUUUGCUAUGAGGGUAAAUCUUUAUUGUUCUCACCAGAAAAAUAAAUGGUAGUUAUUUGAGGUGAAAAUGUUUUUAGCUUGUUUGUGAUUGUUUCACAUACUGCAUGUAUAUCAAAACAUCUAAGUAUACCUAUUAAUGUUAACAAUUUUUAUUUGUCAACUAUAUCUCAGUAGAGAUGAAGAAAGAGAAAAUGAGACAUAUCUUUUUGGUGGAGGGCGGGGGUGUGGGGGAGCACUUAACCAUUGAACUACCAUCCCUAGCUCUUUUUAUUUUGAGACAGAGUCUAAGUUGCUUAGGGCCUCUCAGCCUCACUAAGUCAUUGAGGCUGGCUUUAAAUUUAUGAUUCUCUUGUGUUAGCCUCCCAAGUCAUUGGGAUUACAAGCAUAUGCCACUGCACCCAGCUAAGAAAACAUAUCUUGAAACACUUGUAAUGCAUGCUAUUCAUGCUUCUCAUCAAUUAUUCUACAGGUGAUGAAAAUUCAUUCUGAAAAUCUGAAGACAUAGGAAAAAAAAGUUAUGUUAUAAAGAUUUCUCUGUUGGGUUGGAGGAGAACAGGGUAAGGAGUAAGAGGAUAAGAAAGAAGACCAUUUAAAGGGUGCAAAUACAUGGAGUGACUUGAAUUAUUCAAGGGGCUUUGGAAUGUAUUAUCAGUGGGAUCUAGGUAUUCUGUUUUCAUGGCAAAGGAGAAGAAAUACUAAGGAAAAAGCAAUAAUGAAGUCUUCGUGAGCUUUUUAGUAGUCUGACCAAAUUUAUUUCAUAAAUAAAUAAUUUUAGUAUACAGAUCUACGUAAAGUAAGGAGGAGGAAAAUAGUUGUUUUAGUCAGUUUUUUUUUUUUUUUUUUGCCACUGUGACUAAAAGAUCUGACCAAAACAACUGUAGAGGAGAAAAAGGUUAUUUGAGGGCUCACAGUUUCAGAGGUCUUAGUUGGUGUAGCAGGCCGGCUCCAUUCCUUGGAGCUUAAGAGGAAGCAGAAGAUCAUGGUGCAAGUGUGUGGCAGAGGGAAGCAGUUCACAUGGUGAUCAGAAAACAGAGAAAUAGUUCUCUACUCGCCAGAUACAAAUAUAGACCCCAAAACCACACCCUUACUGCCUUACCUCCUCCAGGUACACCCUGCUUUCAGUUACUACUCAGUUAAUCCCAUCAGGCAAUUAAUUCGCUAUUGGGUUAAGACUCUUAUAACCCAAUCAUUUACCUUCUGAACUCUCUUGCAUUGUCUCACGUGUGAACUUUUGGGGGACACCUCAUAUUCAAACCGUAACAAUCAUAACUUGUAUCUACUCAUUCAUCUCUCCAGUAAAUGAAUAUUGUAGGAGCUGUUCAGGUGCCAAGCACCAGUGUGGGUGCUUGGGAUGUAUUUGAGCAAAAAACAGGAAAAAAAAAUCUUGACUUUGUGAAGUUUAGCUUCUAGUGGGGAAAAGAUAACAUUGGGAGGUUGAUAAUUCAUUUUAUUUUCCAUUUACAUCUUCCUGUUUGAUUUUUUUCUUCUUCAAAGGACAUAUAUUCAUGCAUUACUUUUUUAAAAAUAUUUUUUAUAGAAAUAAUUUCAAACUUAUAGUAAAAACAUUACAAAGAAAGUCCUAGAUGCUUUUUACCCAAAUUCAACCAUUCUUAACAUUUUAUUUUGUUCUCUUAUUUUUUCAUACUAUGGAUAUAGAAGAGCUCAUACCACUCAUUUGUAUUUACCUGAUGUUAUGUUUCCUCAUAAUUAGAUUCAGGUUAUGCAUUUUUAUUGAACUGCUAAAGAGAACAUGCAUGAUAACUGAAGACCACAGGGUGUUCACAUAUCCUUCAUUGCAGUGUUAAUUGUUAUGCACCUUUUGAAGGUUUUAUCCAACUUCUUCACUAUGUUACUUUUUUCCUCCCUCAAAAUUAAUCAGGAUAUAUUUUAAAAUCAUGAAAAAUUUCCAUUUUCAUAAAAAUUUUUCCUGUAUAUAGUAUUUAUCAUGAUUUUGCACAAUCUAACCUUUGACUAGAUAGUUGCAAAAUGAUAAUUUUCUAACUUCAGUAUUUUCUCCAUGGUAACUAGUCAGCAUUAAUUUUCUACCAUAAUCAAAUGUUGUUUAAUUUUUUUUAAUCUAUCUACGUAUCUAUCUAUCUAUCUAUCAUGGACUAAUGACAUUCUUGUUUUCAGAGGUUUGUAAUUCAUUUAUGUACUUGUUUAUUUGGAUUCCAAGUGAUCCCAGAAGUCACCAGUAGUAGCAUUACCAAAUGAUUUCUGUUCCCUUGUGACUUCAUCCUUUAUUUAUUUAUUUUUAACCUUCUUACUAUACCAGGAUCAUUUUGUACCCCCACCCAUGAAAUCAACUAUUUCUCCAAGGAAUUCUCAUUCCUUUGAGUGGACCUAGUAAGCUCUUUGAGACUGGGGUUUCUAUAGACCUUUUCACCAGAGACCGGUCUGUGAAUGUAUAUAUACACAUGCAUCCGUGUGUGUGUGUGUAUAUAUAUGUUAUAUACAUGCAUAAUUUAGAUAGUAUUCCUUCAUACCUCCCUUUCCAGUCUAUACUUAUUGGUUUUGUUUUGGUUUUGCAUUAUCUUUCCAUAAUUGUAUUCUUCUUCCAUCAUGAGAUCCCUGGUUCUUAUGCUCUAUAUGCUAUUUGUUAUGCUUAAUAUCUCUUGCAAGUCAUGGCAUAUAAUUUCACAGUUAUAUUUUUAUUUCUAUAAUUGUAUAACUACUGUAUAGUAGGUAUAUUUCAUAGCUUAUUCAUCCAUCUAUGAUUUGACAUUUAGGUAGUUUUAAAUUAUUUUAAAAUUAUAAAUAAUACUACAAUUAAUAACCUUGUGCAUAUAUAUUUUUGUAUUACUGAGCUUUCUAGGAGUGAUAUGAGAUUAGUCCAUUUUAUGUUAUUAUAAUAAAAUACCUGCAGCUAGGUAACUUUAUAAAGAAAAGAGGUUCAAUGGUCUGCAUCUUGUGAUGGUCUUUUUUUAGUAGAGUACUUAGACUGUGAGAGCAUCACAUAGUAAGAGACAGGGAGUAUGCAUGUUGUCUCUUUUUUUUCUUGUAAAAUUAACAACAUGGGUUGUCUACUCUAAUGACCUUAUUUAAUUCUAAUUACCUCCUAAAGGCCCCACAAUUAAAUACCAAAGUCAGAUUAAGCUUUUGCCAUCUUAAUACCUCACAGUUGGGAUUAAAUUUUAACACAGAAACCCUUGGGGGAUACACUCAAAUCAUGUUCAAAUCAUACCAGAUAUUAUGGGUCAAAAAGUGUGAAGUCAGUUUUAACCGUGAGGAAUUUGAGGCAAUAUUUCAAUGGAUAGAGCAAAUUGCAUGGACUCAUUCUUUAUGAAAAUCAGUGAUUCUAUCUAUCAUGUGUCCCAGGCCCUGUAUGAAGCUAUGGGGUUAUACUGGUGAACAAAAAAUGCACAAUAUGGCCAGUUGUGUAGUUAACAAUCUAGUAUAUAUACUAGGCUAGCGAUACAGAACAACAGAGUCUUUGAGAUAAUAGAUAUCAGCUUUUAUCUUCUUCUCCUCCUCCUCCUCCUCCUCCUCCUUCUUCAUCCUUCUUUCUUCCUUUCUUCCUUUCUUCUCUCCUCCUCCUCCUCCUCCUCCUCUUCCUCCUUCUUCUUUUCGUACUGGGGAUUGAAAUCAGAAAAUCAUAGAUGCUUUAACACUGAACCACAUCCUCAGCCUUUAUUUAUUUAUUUAUUUUAGGCAGAUUCUUGCUAAGUUGAUUAGGGCCUCAUUGAGUUGCUGAGGCUGACUCAAACUUGUGAUCCUCCUGCCUCAGUCUUCUGAGUUACUGGGAUUAUAGGCAUGUGACACCAUGCCUGGCUAACAUUUUCAUUUUUCAACCUUGCUCAAAUCAGUAAGCAUGUACUUGCUAAGCCAGGCUCACAUUUCUUUUUAAAAAUGAAAAACAAUUAUGGAUAUUUCAGGAUGCAAAAAAGCAAAGACAAGAAAUAUAGUUUUUGUAUUUUCUUUUUAUUCUCUUCCCUUUGUUGUUUGCUUUUUCAUUUUGUUUUGUUUUGUUUUCAGGUGUUAGUGAUCAAACCUAAAGCCUUGCACAUUCAGGGAAAGGCUCUAUCACUGAGCUACAUACCCAGCCUAUUCUCUGCUUCAAACAAUUAUAGAAAUUAUUUAAGUAAACACACUGAUACUAGAAUUCUUCUGUAACUUACUUCAAAGUUCAAGCCAAUAUGAAACCUUUUUUUUUCUUUCUGUAUUUCACUUUAUAGAAUGUGGCUACAUCUUUCUUCCUACUGGGCAGUAUUUUCAUAGUGGUGUAGGUGGAGGUAUGUUUAUUUCUGUGACUUUCUUGGUCUUAGAAAUUACUUCCUAGAAUGAGAUCUAUAUAGUCCUGACCCAUUACUUAAUUGAAGCUGAUAUGAUGGGCAAGACAUCUGAUUUUCUAAAUGUUGAUAUUAGAAAUAAACAUGCAAAUCUGACAGUGGAUUCAAUAUUCUGAAUGUCUCUUGGGAAAGUUGAACAUAGAUCUUAAUGUGAUUAAUGAAAAAUGACAAGGUUGGUUAAUGACAUUCCCUUUUCCCCAAAAAAUGAUGAAAAAUAUUAUACUUGUAUUGAGAUAGUACUAUCACAUAUUUGUAGGAUCUGAAAAAGAAAUUUGACCAAGGGGUUGCCAGAAUAGCACUGUGAAUGUCUACAUCCUAAUGUCUAGAACCUGUAAGUACCUUAAGUUACAUGACUAAGGGGAGUUAAGAUUGCCAAUCAGCUGAUUUUAAAAUAGGAGAAUAUCUUGGAUUAUGUUCAUGUUAUGAAUCAAGUUAUUCUGAUUGUUGUUGCUUUAUAGUGAGCUGUAAUAUUAGGUACAACUACCUCCUAUAUUAAGUAUAACAUUAGUAUAACAUCAAUUUUAUAGAUAUUCUCUGUUAACAUAAGUUCCCAACUAUUUUUAGAUUAAGAGGUUUUACAUUAAUUAGUGUUAAAUUUUUUCAAUGCUUUUUUAGCAUUGUUAAAAUUAUGUUUUACCCUUUAAUCAGUAAAUAUGGUGAAUUUCAUGGAGUGAUAAUUGAAGGUCAAAACAAUGUAACAUUCCUGGGAUAAAUCCUAUUUUAUCAUGAUAUCCUCUUUAUACAUUGUUGCUAAUGUUUUCUUAAUGUUUUUUGCCUCCUAUAAUUAUAUAUGUAAUAGAUGUAUACAUCUAUUUACCUUCCUGUAUAUGUGUAAAUGGAAAACAUCUAUAUUUUUAUAGUUUGUCUUGUUUUGAUAUUAAAAUGUUGCAGUUCUCAUAAAAAGUCAAAUUAUAUAAAUAUGCAUAUAUAUAUAUUCAUAUAUAUAUAUAUAUAUAUAUAUAUAUAUAUAUAUAUAUGAAUAUGCCACAGUGAAAUACACCAUUCUGUAUACUUAUCAUACACCAAUUAAAAAAAUAAAAAUGUGUUAGGAAAUCAUAGGUGUUCAUCUGUUUUUUAAAAAAUAUUGGUUUAAUAUUGGUAUUAUUUCUUCCUUGAAUGUUUGAUAGAGCUCAUGGGUGAAAUAAAUCAUCAAGGAAUGGAAUUUUUUAGAGUACUUUGGCAAUAAAUUCAGUUUCUUUAAUGGAUAUAGGACUAUUUUGUUUCUUCUUGUGUUAUGGGAAAAUUUUAUUUUUUAAGACAAUUUUCCAUAAGAUAUUUAAUUUUACAAACAUGAUUGUGCAACUGAUUGAAACAUAGCUGCUUUGCUUACACUUAUUUAAAUACUUAAAAAUAUAUGUCUACAUACAGAAAGAGAAAGAUACAUACAGAAAGGGUCACUAUACAAUAAAUAUCAGAAGUGCUAUUUUUAAUAAAACCUGUAUCAUCAGUUGUAAUUGACAUAUUAAAAGUAUUCAUAAACAGUAUUUCCUUUUACCAUUUAUUCUAUUGCCUUCUUUUUUCUUUAACUUUUCUCACUUUAGUCUUUCUCCUUCUUCUGCUGACCUUUAAUAUCAAGCUGUCUAGUAGCCACAUUCAUCUUUUUAAAGAUACAAAGUGAAAUAGUAGAAAAGUUGAGAAAUGUGGCAUCCUCUUUAGUGUUGUUGUUACUGUUAUAAAUAACACUGCCUUCAGAUUACUACAAAUAUCUUGUGAUGGAUGAAGUAGGUUUUACAGUCAUUUUUAUAGCAAAUCCUUGGGUGCCUAUGGUUUCCUGUUACUGUACUGAUUGUAUUAGUCACCUAUUUUGUCAACCAGAACAAAUGAGAAUAAGCCCAUUAAAGAAUAUCAGGAAACAAAACCAUUGCUGUUUGAAAUUUAUCCUUGUACUGAAAGGAUCUCUUUGCUGACUCUGAUAUUCCUGAUGAAUUUUUUAAAGUAUUGAAUAUAUUAUAAAAAUAAUUUAAAAUAUUCUCUAGGACUGGGGAUGUAGCUCAGAGAUUUUACUUUUGCCUAGCAUGCAUGAGGCCCUUAGUUAAAGCCUCAGUCUACUAAAUAAACAGUCAAUCUACCCAAACCCACAAAUUAUUAAAUAAAUGCAUUGUUGAGAACUUUAACUCUUAGUGAAAGUCUGUUAACCUAUCUAAUUAGACGUUUAUUUAAGAUACAUUUUUUUCUUAAGUGCCUUUUCUUAAUAAAGCAACAUUUGAGCCAUUUCAAAGUUCUAGGAAAACAUAUUACAUACAUGGUUAUGACAUUAAUCCAUAAACCAAUUAAUAGAGCCAUAUCCCCUGCCCUAUUUUGUAUUUUAUUUUGAGACGGGAUCUCACUGAUUUGCAGUAUGUUAAGCAAAAUAAGUCAGACUGAGAAAGUCAAUGGUUAUUUGUUUUCUCUCUUGUGUGGAAGCUAGGGGAAAAAAGCAGGAGGGCAGGGCUCACAUGAAAAUAGGAAGGAGUCCAGUAGAGUAGAGGAAGGUGACUCGGGAGGAAAGGAGAGGAGAAAACUGAGGAAAGGGGAGCCAGCAGGUAAUGAAAUUGACAAAGUUGUGUUAUGUGCAUGUAUAAAUAUAUGACAAGGAAGCCCACUAUUAAGUAAAAUUAUAAUGCAUCAAUUAUAAAAAAGAAAUAUAUAUAUAUAUAUAUAUAUAUAUAUAUAUAUAUAUAUAUAUAUAAUUGUUGACUCUGUUUGUAUAUAAAAUAUGUUCACACCAAGUCAUGUACCUUGGAUAAUGAUGUCCAUCCCAUUCCACCAUCAUUGCUAACUCCCUGCCCUCUCCCUUCCCCUCCAACCCUUCUGCCCUAUCUAGAGUUCCUCUGUUCCUCCCAUGUUCCCGCUCCCUACCCCACUAUGAGUCAGACUCCUUAUAUCAGAGAAAACAUUCGGCAUUUGGUUUUUUGGGAUUGGCUAACUUCACUUAGCAUUAUCUUCUCUAACUCCAUCCAUUUACCUGCAAAUGCCAUGAUUUUAUUCUUUUCUAUUGCUGAGUAAUAUUCCAUUGUGUAUAUAUGCGACAUUUUUUUAAUCCAUUCACCUGUUGAAGGGAUCUAGGAUGGUUCCAGUUUAGCUAUUGUGAAUUGUUCUGCUAUAAACAUUGAUAUGGCUGUGUCCCUCUAGUAUGCUGUUUUUAAGUCCUGUGGGUAUAGACUUGGAGAGGAAGAGCUGAGUCAAAUGAUAUUUCCAUUCCCAGUUUUCCAAGGAAUCCCCAUACUGGUUUCCAUAUCGGCUGCACCAAUUUGCAGUCCCACCAGCAAUGUAUGAGUGUGCCUUUUUCCCCACAUCCUUGCCAACACUUAUUGUUGUUUGUCUUCAUGAUAGCUGCCAUUCUGACUGGAGUGCAAUGAUAUCUUAGAGUAGUUUUGAUUUGCAUUUCUUUAAUUGCUAGAGAUGAUGAACAUUUUUUCAUGUAUUUGUUGGUUGAUUGUAUAGCCUCGUCUGAGAAGUGUCUGUUCAUGUCCUUGGUCUAAUUAUUGAUCGGGUUAUUUGGGUUUUUUUGGUGCUUAGCUUUUGAGUUCUUUAUAUACCUUAGAGAUUAGUGCUCUGUCUGAUGUGUGAGGGAUAAAAAUUUGCUCCUAAGAUGUAGGCUCUCUAUUCAUUUCACAGGUUGUUUUUUUGUUGAGAAGAAAUUUUUCAUUUGAAUCCAUCCCACUUAUUAAUUCUUGGUUUUAAUUCUUGUGGUAUAGGUGUCUUAUUAAGAAAGUAGGGGCCUAAUCCCACAUGAUUAAGAUUAGGGCCUACUUUUUCUUUUAAUAUUCGCAGAGUCUCUGAUUUAAUUCCUAGAUUAACCUAUCUAAUUAGAAGUUAAUUUUAGAAAUAUUACAAAACAUUUCUUGUCCUUGAUCCACUUUGAUUUGAGUUUUAUGCAUGGUGAGAGAUAGGGGUUUAAUCUCAUUUUGUUGCUAAUGGAUUUCCAGUUUUCCCAGCACCAUUUGUUGAAGAGGCUAUCUUUUCUCCAAUGCAUGUUUUUGGUGCUUUUAUCUAAUAUGAGAUAAUUGUAAUUUUGUGGGUUAGUCUCUGUGUCCUCAAUUCUGUACAAUUGGUCUACCAGUCUGUUUGGAUUCCAGUACCGUGCUGUUUUUGUUACUAUUACUCUGUAGUAUAUUUAAGGUCUGGUGUAGUGAUACAACCUGUUUCACUCUUCUUGUAAAGGAUUGCUUUAGCUAUUUUGGGUCUCUUAUUUUUGCGGAUAAAUUUCAUGACUGUCUUUUCUGUUUCUAUGAGGAAUGCCAUUGGGAUUUUGAUUGGAAUUGCAUUAAAUCUGUUUAGUGCUUUUGGUAGUAUGGUCAUUUUGAUAAUAUUAAUUCUGUCUAUCCAAGAGCAAGGUAGAUCUUUCUGCCUUCUAAGGGCUUCUUUGAUUUCUUUCUUUAGGAUUCUACAGUUUUCAUUGUAUAGAUCUUCCACCUCUUGUUGAUUCCUAAGUUUUUUUUUUUUGUUGUUGUUGUUGUUGUUGUUUGUUUGUUUUGAGGCUAUUGAGAAUGGGGUAGUUUUCCUCAUUUCCCUCUCAGAGUAUUUGUCACUGCUAUACACAAAUGCCUUUGAUUUAUGGGUGUUGAUUUUAUAUCCUGCUACUUUGCUGAAUUCAUUUACUAGUUGUAGUCUGGUGGAACUCUCUGGGUCUUCUAGGUAUAGAAUCAUCAGAAGCCUACCAACGAAGAAAAGACCAGGACCAGAUGGAUACGGAGUCGAAUUCUAUGAGACCUUUAAAGAAGAACUAAUACCAACACUCUUCAGUUUAUUUCAGGAAACAGAAAAAGAGGCAGCACUUCCAAACUCAUUUUAUGAGGCCAAUAUCACCCUGAUCCCCAAACCAGGCAAAGACACAUCAAAAAAAGAAAACUUUAGACCAAUAUCUCUUAUGAACAUAUAUUCAAAAAUUUUCAAUAUAAUUCUGUCAAAUUGAAUACGAAAACAUAACAAAACGUUUGUGCACCAUGAUCAAGUAGAAUUCAUCCCAGGGAUGCAAGGUUGGUUCAACAUAUGAAACAGGAAACACUCAACCCUUGACUUUCUGAGUCUGGCUUAUUUCAAUUAGCAUUAUGUUCUCUAGUUCCACCCAUUUACUAGCAAAUGCUGUAAUUUUCUUUUUUAUAGCUGAGUAAAACUCCAUUGAGUAUAUAUACCAUAUUUUCUUCAUUCAUUCAUCUGUUAUAGGAUCACUUAGGUUGAUUCUAUAAUUUGGCUCUAAACAUUGAUGUACCUGUAUUGUAUCUCCUUUGGCCUUCCAAAGUGGUUGUAUUAAUCUGUAGUCUUACCAAUAGUGCUUGAGUUUACUUUUGUUUCCACAUCCUCAUUAGCAAUUAUUAUUUGCAUUUCUUUUUUUAAAAAAAAUAUUUAUUUGUUAGGUGUAGAUGGACACAACACAAGGCCUUUAUUUUUAUGUGGUGCUGAGGAUCGAACCGGGUCCUGCCUGUGCUAGGCGAGUGCUCUACCGCUGAGCCACAAUCCCAGCCCCUAUUAUUUGCAUUCUUGAUGGCUGCCAUUCUAACUGGAAUAAGAUGAAAUUCCAGAGUAGUUUUGAUUUCAUUUCCCUGAUUGCUGAUGACAUUGAACGUUUUUCAUAUAUUUUUGGCCAUUUCUAUUUCUUCUUUUGAGAAAUGUCUGUUAGAUCAUUUGUACAUUUAUUCAGUUAUAUUUUGUAGUGCUUUUUGAGUUCUUUAUAUAUUCUUGAUAUUAAACCCUUGUGGGAAGAGUUGCUGGUCAAGAUAGUCUCUCAUUUUGUGAGCUCUUUCUUAAUGCUUUUGUUUCUUUUGCUGUGCAGAAGCUUUUUUAAUUUGAUGCUGUCAAAUUUAUUGGUUCCUGGUUUUAUUUAUUGAGCUUUAAAAUCUUAUUAAAGGAAGGCAGUACUUUCUCCAAUAUGUUGGGGUGUUGAUCCUAUUUUUUUCUUCUAGUAGUUUUAGUGUUUCUGAUUUAAUUGCUAGGUCUUUGAUGAUUUUUGUGUAGAGAGACAGGGAUCUAGUUUCAUUCUUCCACACUUGAAAUUCCAAAUCUUGGUUUUUAAAUUGUUUUGUAGAGUUCUCAGCUCCUUCGGACAGAAAAUCUGAUAAGGAGUAAGACAGCAUAUGCUUUGUAAAUAUUAUCUUUAUUUUUCCGAAAGAAAAAUGUUGAUGAAAAAUAUCCAUAACCAGGCUCUGAUAAAAAGAUGCAAAGCAUGGCUUUAUAGCACAAAACGAUAAAAGGAAACAAUAUGUUCAUGCUAUUAUGUUUGAUUUCUACUAAAUGAUAAAAUUAUUAUUUAUAAUGAUGUAUAUUCGAAGACAGUUUUAAAAAUUAUGGUAACUGCUUCCAAAAACUAGUACUUCUGUCAUUUGAAUGCUACUCUAGUAAUUUGUGUCAAAUGUGUAAUUUAAAAAGCUCUAAAUUUGCUUUUUGGCUACUUCUAUUUUGCUUCAUCAAAUUUGCUAUUGUAUAUGUUUAUUACAUGUUUUGCCCAGUGUUACUUGGCCAUAAAAUACUUUCUGGCUACUAACAUAAGCAUUUCAGAAUCAGAAAACAGUUUUGAUACAACUUUUUAAUCAAAAUCCCUAAUUUAAAAGAUCAUAUUCAAACAGUUAUCAAUCUCAAAGUAGUUCUAAUCUCUAAAACACUAUUUUAAUUUUAAGUAUAAGAUAUUGUCAGAAUAGCCAGGUGUGGUUGUGCACAUCUGUGCUCAGAAGCCUGAGGCAGGAGGAUUGCAAAUUCAAAGCCAGCCUCAGCAUCUUAGUGAGACUCUAACCAACUUAAUAAGAAUAAUAGAAAGCUCAAAAUAAUAGAAAGCUCUGGGGAUAUAGUGGCUCAGUGGUUAAACAACCCUGGCUUAAAUCCCUGGUACAAAAUAAAAGAUCAUCUAAGUAAACACAAAAGUUAUCUUAUUCAAAGUAAAUAGAAUAUAGGAAUAUAUUAAAGUGCCAGUAUUUGCUUUAGAAAGAAAUUUCUUGCCUAACAUGUCCACUGUUACUAGUAGUCUAGCAGAUGUUUUUCCAAAUUAAAAAAAAAAAAAAACAUACCAUGUUCAUCAUUACUUAAUCCAGUAAUAAUAGAAUUUUCAUGUAGUUUUUGUGUGUGUAUGUUCCUUUUUACAUUUCACUUUUCAGUUGAUGUUGAGCCAUAGGAGAAAGUUUUACUUGAUCCAUUAACAAUUAGCAGUUUUACAGAGAAGCCAGAGGCAACCAAGGAAAUAAUAGCAUAAAACAAAACCUACAAUAUACCAAUAGUAUAUUUUUUAUUUAUUCUUAGAUGGAGUAGAAAUCCAUUGUCAUAACCAGAGUACCAGAGUAGGUCUUAUCCUUCUCUUUUCUACAUUAUUAUUAUUAUUAUUAUUUUACUACAGCAGGAAUUUUGUAAAUGACAGAAAACUGAGCUUUGGAUAGCUCAAUCUAAUCAUUACAUUUCAAUGAUUAAAUCCUCCAUGACUGAAAAGUAUUGUGGUAAAUAAGGGGCAAAGUCAAGUGAAUCUUAUGCUUCUGUUUUUGAAGAACAGAAUGACCUUAGACCAAUCUCUUGAGUCUUGAUUCCUCUUCUUUAUCUAGACACCCAUCAAAUUAUGUAAUUGGGGUGCAUCUCUAAACGAUCCCAGUUUCUGGGUUCUGUAAUCAUUGCCAAUUUCACCGUGCAAAUAACAGUAAAAGGACAACCCUUAAUAUUCCCUUCGAAACUAUUUGUUUUAUCCCUUAAAAAAAUACUUUAAUACAUCCAGGAAAUAACUGACCAACAUGGUACUAGUAUCCAGUCUUUCCACGUAAACCAUGGUUUCUUUCUCUUCUGAUACAGAUUUUUAAGCUAUAUUUAUGGUUUUAUAAUAAGACAAUAGGGAAUUUUCCUUUUCUUUUGCUUUUAUUUAAUUAAUUGAUUGAUUGAUCACUAACAUUUUCUCCAAUAUGAAGCAAUAUUCCUAGUGGUUAAUAAAAACUUAAUGUUUUGAGUGAUUGAAUGAAUGAAUAUAUAUUUAUGUGUAUAUGUAAUAUAUAUAAAUGUUUUGACUAUUAAACAUAUUUACACACACAGCUGAAUUAAUGUGCUCCUGUUUUAAACACAGUGGAAGCCAUCGAGGCAUUAAAUAUUAUCUGCAUUUAGAUUUAGAUUUUUCUGUACUAGUUGACAUGUCACUACUGUAAGAUAUUGUUUAGCAAGAAUGGAACAUUCUUAAUUUUUCUACAUUUUAUAUACUAUUGUUGAAGAAGUUCAACUUCUCAAUUUCAGCUAUGUUUUUCCAGCUUAAACUUUUUAUCAAUUCAAUAUUUAAAUAUCAUUAAUGAAAGCGUCUACCUGUCUUUUCUCCUCUCCCUUCCCUCCCAAAUGAUCUAAUUUCUGUGGGGACUUACAUCAGUAUUUAUAUAAUCUAAGGCACUAUUUGUUUAAUUUGAUCACUAAAGAAGGAAAGAAAUAGCCACCAAUUUAAUUGUAAAACAAUGUAAUGAUAGUUUCAAAUUAUGCAAGAAUUAUGCAUAUCAGCCUUCCAAAACUGUUACAUUUUUCAUCCCUUAUAAUGAAAUUGGCAACUUCUGCUUGCAGUUGCAUUUCUUUGUAAAUAAUGACUUAUCAGAACAGAAAUUAGAUGUCAUUUAUCUGGAGUAUUGUCCCAUCUUAAAAAUCUUCAUUUUGGGGAAGAAUAUGUAGAAUUGACACUAAUGUAUGGAAUUGAAGCAAAGGUUCUAGUGAUAAAUCUUUGAUUUUCUAAUAUCAAAUUAUAGCUUAUUAUUGUCAUCAUGUUUUUCUUCAUAUGUAAUUACUUGACUUCAUUGAUGAUUCAUGAUAUUAUUUUAAAGGUAUUUUAAACAUCAUUAAACAUAUCCCUUAUUUAUAUUAACAAUGCAUAUGCUUCAAUUGAAGUGACAGCAAUACAAAGAGAUUUGACCAAUCUUAUGAACAUAUACAUAAUAAUAAUAUUAUAAGUAAUACCACUUGUCUGAUAGCAAUUUUAAGAUGCCUUCAAUUGGAGGAUAUGUUUCAAGUUCAGUGAUGUUGAAAUAUUAAAAAUAUUUGUGUUACAUAUUAUGAAAUACAGUACUAUUCACAAGAGAGUGUACACAUAUAGUCCUCUGUCUUUAUUGGCCACAGCUGAGGCAUAAUUUAUUCUGCUUGAUUUUAGAGCUUCAAUCUCUAUCUCUGCCAUUUUUGCCAAAACAAAUACCCCUCCUGUUAAAAGCUCCUACAGAUUAUACUGUUCACUCCUGGUUCUGUCUCUAAAGUUUCUUUGAGUCUACCAGUCCCCUUUUACAGCUUUUACAACUUCUAUAUCACUUCUCCAAGUAGGAACUCUUGGAUAUUUUCCUCAUGCAAAGCUAAUGCUCCGUGUUUUCUUUUUUUUGUUUGUUUGUUUGUUUUUUCAAAUUGUUGUUAUAUUACUGAGAAAGAGCAACUGAGUUAAAGAUAGCAACUUAGAAGAUCACACUGAGAAAGUUACAUUUGUGUUGUGGUUAUUUUAACAAAUAUGAAAGAUAACCAAGAAAGAGCUUUUGAUGGAGAAGUAAGUUCCAUGUCAAGAGGAGUUAAAAGCAUGUGCCAAGCUAUGGCCCUAUAUGAGGAUGUGUACAUGCUGUCAAGCCAAAUACAGGAUAUAUACUGGGUCAUGGAAAAUCAUUGAGAAAAUUAAAUCUGGAAGGUUAUGUUAACAAAACAAUACACUAAGGAUUUAUAUUUUAUCCACCAAGAGGACUUAUAGAUCAUCAAAUGCUUUUCAAUGCAGGAACAAUUCCAACAUAUUUAUGUUCUAGAAGAUGAUUCCAGUGAGCUUGUAAGAGAUUGAGUUUGAAAACACUAAUGUAUAAUACUUUGAGCCUAUUUCAGUUAAGGUGAGGAGUUUCAAACACGUGUAGAGGUUAGUGUUUGAAGUACAUGGAAUCAAAAAUAUUUACAGUAGUGAGACUCAGGAUAAUUAUUCUCUAGAUGAGUACUCUCUCAACAUAAGUAAUCAACAGUGACCUCCCUGCUCCCACUGGAAUGGUGAUAAAGUGGACAGCAUUGUCAUAAUUUAAGAGAAUAUAGAGGAAUAUCAGAUUUAAGGUGGUAGGUUUGAUUAAUGAUGCAUUAAAAAUUACCUCAGGGGAGAAUCUUCCUCAGGGCGAUAUAAAUACAGAACAUCUUUUUAAAUAUUAACUUUGGUCCUCAAUUUAGUCAUGCCAGGAAGGGGUUAGGGAAUGGCAGUUCCAUAUAGCAUACAAUAGGUGCUGGUCAUGAUGGCAACAUCAGGAUGGAACUCUGGGGAAAUCCCAAUACAAGGGAUUUUUUGGGAAAUUCCACAGAAUGUGUACUCUUUAGGGGGAGAGCUGGCCAUAUUGUAAAAUAUAAAGUUUCAGUACAAUAUUGGACAUGAUGUGAUUUGAUAGAUCUUAAUAGUUACACUUAUCCACAUUUGUCCUGAGAUAAAUUAUGGCUGUUGAGAUGCAUUUCUGAAGUCAUACAUUAAAACCUUUGUUUGUGUCAGUUACUUCUCUAUCUGAAAACUUCCUGUGGUACCACUAGCUUUUUUAACAAUCCACAAAUUCAUUAUAAAAAUAAUCAUGUUUCAAGUAUUGAACAGAUGAGAAUUGGGAAAAAAUAUUGUCUAAGUUUUUUCAAAAUUAUCUUCAAUAUAUUUUUGAAAGGUUUGAUUUUAUUCUUAAAAUAUUUCAUAAGCUCAGUAGCUUCUAGUCAUGUAGAGCUCUGUUAUAGAUUAAUGACUAAGAUUUGAGUAAAACAAUGUAAAAAAGGACUUUACUUAUGUUCAAGCCAUAUCUUCAAUGACGUUCUAAGCAUUACUGGUAAUUAUAAGAAGAUUUAUAAUAAUCCUUUGGCUAUUCUUUGGUUUGACAAAAUGCUUUAAAUUGUGAUGCAUUUAAAGUUAAAUAAUAGUAAAGGAACUUACAUAAUUAGAAUUAAUGUCCAUAAAAAUGUGUGACAAAAAUUUAACUAUAUACUACAAAUCAGUCAUUAAGAGAAAAUGGGCAAAUUGGCCCCAUUAUGUUUAUUGAAACCCUGUCUUCUGUAUAGAUAAUUUUCAUUACAUUACUGUAAAUACCCAAAGCAUUUUUAACAUCAUAUUCUCAGGCCUGCAGCUUUAAUUAAUCCUCAUUUCUGAAGUUUUAAAAACAAGAUUAGUUAAAUAAUUGUAUUUACAGAAACUACAUAAACAACUAUAUUGCAUACUGAAGUCAAUCAAAGUAAUUUAUUAAUAUUACAUGAGGACAUAACUUCAUUGUGACUGUAACUUUUGUCUUAACUCCUAGCACUUAUAUAUAAAAUUCCUUUGAAAAUUAGAAAUAUAAUUCAAAAGAUAAUAUUUGAAGUCAUAAAUACAGACAAAAUAAUCAUUGUUUUAUGGUGUCCUUUAUUGUGAUUUUUGUAGAUUAAAUACUUUAUUAUAUUCUUCCCUCCCUUGAAAAUCCUUCUGAAUAUUUUGAGAUGUUUUGAAUUUAUUACAGAAGGGUCAUUUUAAUAUUUUUUUCUUCCAGAUAAGAAUGUGCCUUUUGAUAAGAAGAUUUAAUCCUUCUACAGUGAAAAGCAGAGUCUGUUUAAGGAAUAAGAAGCCACUAUAUCAAUGGGGUGAGGGGUAUUUAAGUUCAUACAUUAUGAUAACCUUUAUUUCGUUGUUGCUGCAAUAAAUACUGUAUCACUUUGUUAUACCAUUGUAUGUACAGAAGUGUUCUAUUAAUGGGCUCAGUGUUGUUAGGGAUAAACUAUAUUGUAAUAGUUUAUCUGUUUGAAAAUUACUUUAAAACUCCAUGUUUCUGAAGAGUUUUUGUUUAUUGCUUACCACAUUAUUGUAAAUUGGUUUUUUUUAUGUACUAAUCAGUUAAUGUUAAUUUUUUUUUUGCGGGUAUCAUUUUAUAGAGCCCUAACCCCCAACAAGCAACUGGUGUGUAAAAAUAAUUAAAAUUUUCCUUUACUGAAAUAUAUUUCCCAUUUUUGUGGGGAAAUGAAGCCAAAUUUAUUAUGUGUUUGGGUUUUUAAAAUAUUAAUAAAUGUCUGAGUUAUUGUAUGCAAAACAAUAAAUGUGAUGUAAAAUUCUUUUAAUCUGGUACAGAUAAUAUGUUCACAAAAUAAACCUGAAGAUCAUAGAACUACUUUUAAUAUAUG